Molecule: transfer RNA, 72 nt
Filed under: archaeon
Lineage: Archaea
Description: tRNA-Arg
Rfam family: tRNA
About the family: Transfer RNA (tRNA) molecules are approximately 80 nucleotides in length. Their secondary structure includes four short double-helical elements and three loops (D, anti-codon, and T loops).
Source: RNAcentral
GGCCCUGUAGUUUAGCGGAUAGAAUGAAGCCCUGCGGAGGCUUUGACCCGAGUUCGAAUCUCGGCAGGGUCA